Vulpes vulpes (red fox) is the source of this 105-nucleotide small nuclear RNA. Lineage: Eukaryota; Metazoa; Chordata; Mammalia; Carnivora; Canidae. The record is from Ensembl.
GUGCUCACUUCAGUGGUACAACGUACUAAAAUGGGAAUAAUACAGAGGAUUAGCAUGGCCUCUGCACAAGGCUAACAUUGCCACUAAGAUCUAUUCUAGUCUUAU